CCUACGGGUGGCUGCAGUGAGGAAUAUUGGUCAAUGGGCGUAAGCCUGAACCAGUCAAGUCGCGUGAGGGAUGAAGGUUCUAUGGAUCGUAAAUCUCUUUUAUAAGGGAAUAAAGUGCGGGACGUGUUCCGUUUUGCAUGUACCUUCUGAAUAAGGACCGGCUAACUCCGUGCCAGCAACCGCGGUAAUACGGGGGAUCCGAGGGUUAUCCGGUUUUAUUGGGUUUAAAGGGUUCGUAGCGGCCUUUUAAGUCAGCGGUGAAAGUCUGUGGCUCAACCAUAGAAUUGCCGUUAAAACUAGGAGGCUUGAGUAUGUUUGAGGCAGGCGGAAUGCGUGGUGUAGCGGCGAAAUGCUUAGAUAUCACGCAGAACCCCGAUUGCGAAGGCAGCCUGCCAAGCCAUGACUGACGCUGAUGCACGAAAGCGUGGGGAUCAAACAGGAUUAGAUACCCCUGUAGUC
RNAcentral lists this ribosomal RNA (459 nucleotides) under uncultured bacterium. Its description in RNAcentral is "partial 16S ribosomal RNA". It matches the Rfam family "Bacterial small subunit ribosomal RNA", at positions 338 to 795 of the family's 1533-position model. The record is from RNAcentral.